GCAAUGGCAGAGAACGGAAGAAGUAGCCUUGUCGGGGAACAUAGAAAGUAUCGGGGUGAUGGAACGAUACCAAAGACAAAGCGAAAGUCGUCCGGGAGCCGGUUUUUCGAACAGAGUAGAAAAACACGUACACCGACGUUACCGGAUCGAGCACAGUAAUGUGAAAUUUAGGUGGUACCACGCAAAAGCGUCCUUGUC
RNAcentral lists this non-coding RNA (198 nucleotides) under Bacillota bacterium. Its description in RNAcentral is "Firmicutes bacterium T-box sequence". It matches the Rfam family "T-box leader". From Rfam's summary of the family: Uncharged tRNA acts as the effector for transcription antitermination of genes in the T-box leader family. The record is from RNAcentral. Lineage: Bacteria; Bacillati; Bacillota.